This is a non-coding RNA of Camelina sativa (false flax), 248 nucleotides long. NCBI's taxonomy places the organism in Eukaryota, Viridiplantae, Streptophyta, Magnoliopsida, Brassicales, Brassicaceae. The record is from RefSeq and is a predicted model, not a curated record.
AGCCAAUGGAAGUAACCAGAAAAAUGUAUAAAGGGAAACGACUGUUGAAAACGUAGCUAGCACUACCAAUCUGACUCAGCAAAAUCAAAGCCAUCACAAGGUUUAUGUCCGAGAGUAAAUUGCACCUUACGUUUCAACGGCUGAAUUUAUGAAGAAGUUCCAAACAAACACCAGAGACUCUUUAACAAAAAAAACAGAACCAUACAAGACCAGACAAAAAGAUUAAUUAAACAAAGGAAAGCUACAAA